UACGGGGGGAGCGAGCGUUGCCCGGAUUUAUUGGGCGUAAAGCGCGCGCAGGCGGUCCUUUAAGUCUGAUGUGAAAUCUUGCGGCUCAACCGCAAGCGGUCAUUGGAAACUGGGGGGCUUGAGUACAGAAGAGGAGAGCGGAAUUCCACGUGUAGCGGUGAAAUGCGUAGAUAUGUGGAGGAACACCAGUGGCGAAGGCGGCUCUCUGGUCUGUAACUGACGCUGAGGCGCGAAAGCGUGGGGAGCAAACAGG
Molecule: unclassified non-coding RNA, 253 nt
Filed under: uncultured Caryophanales bacterium
Lineage: Bacteria; Bacillati; Bacillota; Bacilli; Caryophanales
Description: uncultured Bacillales bacterium contains 16S-23S intergenic spacer region
Rfam family: Bacterial small subunit ribosomal RNA
Source: RNAcentral